This 72-nucleotide transfer RNA is filed under the name Pseudomonadota bacterium. RNAcentral describes it as "tRNA-Arg". It matches the Rfam family "tRNA". From Rfam's summary of the family: Transfer RNA (tRNA) molecules are approximately 80 nucleotides in length. Their secondary structure includes four short double-helical elements and three loops (D, anti-codon, and T loops). Lineage: Bacteria; Pseudomonadati; Pseudomonadota. RNAcentral also lists the same sequence under 2 other names. The record is from RNAcentral.
GCCCCUGUAGCUCAGUGGAUAGAGCAACGGCCUCCGGAGCCGUGUGCGGGGGUUCGAUUCCCCCCAGGGGCG